UAAAACGCAACACUGUGAUUGGACCGGCGAUUACAUGAUAAAAACGCAGUGUUGCCAAAUUUUACAGAAUCACCGCGUGAACACUAACUUCUUAUGCCUGUCAUACAUGGAGAUUGUUCCGAAUAAAUACAAAAAAAUCAUCUGAGUGGCCGCCGCUGCUGAGUGAUUUUUUUGCUUCCCCACUGUUUCUUUUUAUUUUCUUUCUUUUUGCACUCCGCCGACUAGUGCUCUUUCUCUCCCACCGUGUGUGUGUGUGUGUGUGUGUGUGCGUGUGUACAUGCUUGAAAAUGACGUCGACCCCCAAAGGUUGUCUGAAAAGAGAAAACGUUUUUCAAGCUGCAGUAUAUACAACUUGUUUUUUAUCAAGCUAUUGCUUGAAUUAAAGUGUGAAAACAAUGGCGACAACUUUGCUAUAUAGAUGAAUGAUCUCCACUUUGUUCAAUCACGUGAUGUUUACGUCGAUCCCCACGAGUCAAACCGUUCUAAAACGGCUCUUCAGAAUGAAGCAUGUAAACAGCAGGGCCGAGAUAGCUUCAGUUGGUCUCCACGUCUCACAGGACUUUGUUCAACAAUGACUGCUGACGUUUACAGAAAAAAAAAACACUCUCCUCUGCACCCUCAGCUGUUUACGCUCUACUGCCAAGGCAAGGUCUAAUUAUGCAUUUGAGCGUGAGAGUUUAAUUUGCACGUUUCAUUUGGAGUGAUUGGCACUCGCAUAAGUUACGCUGAAUGCUGCUUAACUAAAGGAGAGGCAGGCGGUAGACACUAAGCUCUAUCACUUUGCCACUCCAGUUACCCAAGCAACACAAGUUUUCGCGAGAUUUAUAUGAAUGUCUCACAGGAAACUAAAUGUGUCAGAGAAAAAAAAA
Hippocampus comes (tiger tail seahorse) is the source of this 869-nucleotide long non-coding RNA. RefSeq lists it as uncharacterized. The record is from RefSeq and is a predicted model, not a curated record. NCBI's taxonomy places the organism in Eukaryota, Metazoa, Chordata, Actinopteri, Syngnathiformes, Syngnathidae. The transcript has 2 exons.